GAUAUCAGAUUAGGUAGUUGGUGGGGUAAAGGCUCACCAAGCCGACGAUCUGUAGCUGGUCUGAGAGGACGACCAGCCACACUGGGACUGAGACACGGCCCAGACUCCUACGGGAGGCAGCAGUGGGGAAUUUUGGACAAUGGGCGCAAGCCUGAUCCACCAUGCCGCGUGCAGGAUGAAGCCUUCGGGUUGUAAACUGCUUUUGUACGGAACGAAAAGUUUGGCCUAAUAAGCUGGACCCAUGACGGUACCGUAAGAAUAAGCACCGGCUAACUACGUGCCAGCACCGCGGUAAUACGUAGGGUGCGAGCGUUAAUCGGAAUUCUGGGGCGUAAAGCGUGCGCAGGCGGUUAUGUAAGACAGAUGUGAAAUCCCCCGGCUCAACCUGGGAACUGCAUUA
Molecule: ribosomal RNA, 400 nt
Filed under: beta proteobacterium W2
Lineage: Bacteria; Pseudomonadati; Pseudomonadota; Betaproteobacteria
Also listed under: 1 other name
Description: bacterial SSU rRNA
Rfam family: Bacterial small subunit ribosomal RNA
Source: RNAcentral